Molecule: unclassified non-coding RNA, 5028 nt
Filed under: Leishmania donovani
Lineage: Eukaryota; Euglenozoa; Kinetoplastea; Trypanosomatida; Trypanosomatidae
Description: gene:LdHU3.31.0480(CDS-product:hypothetical_prote in_conserved)
Source: RNAcentral
GAUGUCGCGUGCACGGGUCAGUGCGCAUCGCGCUAUCCGAAGUGAAGAAAACGAAGCUGGAGAGAAGCAUUCUCCUCCACGUAUUCUAUACGCGCACAAUCAACUCCGCUUUAUCCAGCGGAGCAACGUGCUGGCGCUUUUCAGCGAGUGAGGGGCCAUCAGACGUCAAACGAGAGUCAUGUGAACUCUCUUAAAAGGACCACAGGACUCGUAAUUCGUGCAUUGCUGCGCUGUUUUCUCUCUCUUUCUGCAUCGAAUCGCGUGAGGAGCAGCGCAGAAGCAGCCGUGUCGCUUUUGUUUUCUCGACGGCGGGAGCUACCUCGGCAGAGGCCAGCGUCCCGAGAACUUUAUUGUUGAAUGCGUGUGGCAACUUGUGAGGGCGGCGACGCCUUGUUUACGCGUUAUAGCGCGCCACCUCUUCCACGUGCAGGCCGGACUGCCCCCUCCCUCCCCUCAUUGACUGCAGUGUGCUGCAUGCUGUACUGCAGCAACAGCAGGUGAAGGGCUCGGCACUGCGGUCUACAUACAAGCGCGCACAAACACACCCGCACGACCUCCCGAGUCUUCUGUCGGUGAUCACGUCAUAAUGCCCGGCAGCGUCUCCUCGCCGAGGGGCUCGAGGACAAGUGGCGAUGUUCCAGCAAACGUCUCGCGUCGGUCAGCGUCCCUGACGUCGAGAUCAUCAUCGGUGCAUGGGCCACACUUGAGCUGCAGUGGGCGAUACAGGAAUGGCAGCUCUGAAUCAUCUGCGGCCCGCCGCCGGCUUCGGCGAACACGCUGCAGCUUGAAGAGAUCCUAUACCGCACAUGCCUGCCGCUUCUCUCCUUAUCGGCCCCCCUCAGCCGCCAUGUUGGACCCCUUCCCCAAUGCGAGCAUCAAUUCGCUCUGCGUUGUGGGGCUCUCAACGCUUUUGACGGUGCACCGUACCGGCGUUCGACUUUAUCGGCAGCGACAGCUUCCUGCUCCAGCGCCGCCCUCGACAUUGAACAUGCUUGCAAGCCGUCCUUCCAGCAACGCUGCCGUGCCCAGCGCAUCGCCUGCUGCGGUGCCGCACGGCGUCUGCGAGGCGACAGGCGUGUUCGAGCUGAUCGAAACGCGCCAUGAGUUCCAGGUUCGCGAGUCGUACCUGUGCGCGGCAAUGCAGCCGGUCGUUGUCAACGGCUCUCUCUUCCUCUCCAAGUGGAGUCGCUACUUCUGCGUCGCGUCCGGCAGCGACCGCAUCGUGCACGGCGUGUCCGUCAUGAGCAGUGGAGCGCACUUCUGCCUGAACCACACGCAGCACCAGACGAGCAAGGUAGUGUGCAUGCAGUGCACGCAGCUUGCUCUCGAGCCGUGCCACCCGCUCUCCCUGACACCCGCCGUGGUGAGCGUCGACGAGGUGGGCGUGGUGGUGCUCUUCGACAUUGAGAGGGAGGUGGCGUCCGUCCUGGAGCAGGCGCCGCUGUGGUAUCGGCAGACCGAUGCGCGUCCGAGAGAAAAGGGAGCGGCUGCAGACCCCAGCCACGUCACAAAUUCCACCAGGGAUAGCGGCGGGCAUGCCGGCAGCGGCCUCCACCAGGCGCCUCUGCAGCAGCAGCACCUCACCCCGGAAGAGGAGGAUCAUGUCCUGAACACGAUAGAGAAGGCAGCCAUGUCAGAGCGCGUCGUCUACCACCUCGAGCACGGCGUCGCCACGCGCGUCGCUCUCGUCGGACCGUGUGUGGAGCUGUGCAACCGCUGUCACAACGCCUUUUCGCGGUCGAUGUCGUCAUCACGGGGGUACAAGCUGGUGAGCUUGUAUCUCUGCUCGCGUGCACGAGACGUGCCCGCCGAUGCGACGCCACCGGAGCAUUUAGGCGACGGCGAAGGUGGCGGGGCGGCCGAACUCAACGUAGUUCUUCUCAGGGUCCUGUGGGGUCCUCGCCGCGCCUUUGUGCUGGAGGAGGUGCACCUCCUGCACGAGGUGGCACCGACGGACGUGUGCGAUGUCGGCAUCGCCAUGAACUCCCCUCCAUACGAGGUGGGCAUGCCCAUGACGCUCUUGCUGGCGAGACCCGCGCUGGAGCUGUGGAAGUUGCGCGGGUGCACGGGAGACCUUAUCGAGACAUGUCGGGUUUACGCCGCCAACAGCGACGGCCCCCGCUGUGGUUCUUGCCGUGACGCCUCGGAAUGUUUCCUUCAGUGGGUUCCCCUCGGCCGCCACCGAUUAAUAGUCGAGAAAGCCACAGAGAGCGAGGAGGAGAAUUCUUGGUCCUGCACGGUGGCAAUGACGAACAAUGACACAGUGCUGCUGCUUGGCAGCGCGCCGAUGCCUGUGAAUCGCGAUGCGCUGGGGAAGACGGCACUAGUUGCCGCAUCUCUCGUCGGUGAUCAAGGCAUUAGCACAACGAGGAAAGAGCUGGCAGCGGAACCGUUCAAGGACACGGAUCUGGAGGCCUGGCUGGAUGAUAUCAGCGUCCCUGCUUCGCGGUCGUCGUCGUUGCCGGCGGCAGAGAGCAGCUUAACGGCCCCUGCAGCCGCAAACUGUACUGGGCCACCAGCCGCGGAAAGUACGGCCACGGACGACGAUGGCGACAACGACGGCGUCUCAGCUGCCUGUCAUGCCGUUACUUUUCCGUACACAGUGCUGAUGGAGCUGUACGCCCCUCAGAGGUCCUACAGCAGCCGCACGCGAGAGAGCGCGUCUGCCGUCUCGACAGUGUUGCUGUCUGUGAUGCCAGACUGGACGGCAAAUCGCCUGCUGCUCUUCAUGGAGGACCAGGAGACGCUGCUGAGCGUGCCGCUACCAUUUCUGGAACGAGUGGGUACCCUCACCGACGCCAAGCAGCACGAGGCAGACGGUCGAGAAGGGACUGGCGUUGCUGCGGGGCCUUCUAUCCCUACGAGCGGAGUCGAUGAUUUACUGCCCUCGACAUCGACUGCCCAAAACCCUCACGUCGUAUCGCAGGAGACUCAACCAGGCCGCAUGAUACAGUAUUUCAAGAGUGCCUCGACGCAUCUCUGGGGCCCAUCCGCACCUUCACACUUUUUUCACUUGGACGCCUCGGGCGGAGAGGUCACCAGAGCCCCACCAGUGCUUAGUGCACCACCGACGGAGGCGCAUACUUCUCCAGCAGACGACCGCUCAGCGGCACAGUUCUCAGACGCUGCGGCGGUGUCAUCAUCCGCUACCGCCGCAGCCGGCAGCCGCGAGCCUUACCGCUUCUUUAGUUUAACACGCCCGCUGAUGGCCGCCUUCUUUCAUCUGUCGGGCGAGCACGAAGAGCCAGCGUCGCUGGCCGUCGUCGAGGCGCCACUCAAGGACCCAGUGCCGAGUGUGACGGGCGACGCGAAAGCUCCUGGCAUCGCACUGUCUAUGCCGCCGAUACAGCAGGCCGGCAAUGGUGUCAUCGGCUCUCCUCCUGCGUGCCCCUCGCCUCUGACUGUCUCUGCUGAUGGUGAACGCAGCGGCACUCAGCACCGCUGCCGCCGCGGCUCCUCGUCGGAGAGCAGCAGAGCCGGGAGCUCACGCUACCGCCGCACACGCAAGCCGCAACGCAUAGGCAACGGCGCACCUGCGAGCUCUGCGGAAGCCGCGCACACCGUCAUCAUCGAAGAAGGCGCCGCGGCGCGGGCGUCAUACAUAUCAGCGCAGAUAGCGCUUUUGAAGGAAGAGCCCAAGGCGCAGAGAGGCAGUCGCACCUCAGAAACUGGGGUCAUUGCUGACGAGGACCACGGCGCACAACACGAGGCCGCCACGACCGUGUCACAGUGGCAGUAUGCGCUGCGCCGCGUCGCCGAAGUGGAGGAGCCGCUGGAACGCAACGCGUUGCUUUACGCAUGGAAGGAUGGGCACAAUGACCUCUACAUCCACUUCUCGGUAGAGCUGGACGAGCUGCGGCAGCGGGAGGCGGCCGACGAGGAGGACGGCCACGCAGUCCCUCUUUCACGAAGGGGCGAGACUGGUUCCAUCUCGCCUGAUGCGUCGAGGCACAGCCGCGGGACAGCCAGGCCACGCUUGACCCUCUGCCGACCAGCAGACGUGGAGGACGGCAUUCACUCAAUGGGAUUUCUCUCGCAGUACAACGCUGUCGUGCACAGGCGCGCCGCAACAGCGAGCUACGGCAACUGUUUCGACUUCAGCUCGUACUUUGUCACCCUACAAGUGCCGCAGCACGUGCUAGACGUGCAGGAGCGAGACAAAUACCGAUUGGAGCUGGAAGACCUGCGCCUGCAGCAGGCCAGGGACUUGGCGAGCCUCCACCCCUACGAUAUGGUGACCAUCUUCCAGAACGAAGAGCGGGUGUCUGCCAAGGAUGCAGCAUGGCGGCUACACGCCACCUUCCCCUACGACGAUGCGCAAGACGGGCAUGCCGUCGACCUGCAGCAGCUCAACCGCACUGCCGUAAGAGACCCCGCUGCGGCCGCGGCGUCGGAGUGGCGGUGGGCCGAUGCUUCGGAGGCGAGGGCGUGGUCCAAAGAACACGAUUUAGCGCGAAGCUCUACAAACCGUGUCAGGAGUCUCGUGAAGGAUCUGAAGGACUGGGAAGUAGGGCCAUGGGCCUACGCCACGCGCUGGCCGUCCAGAGAGGAAGAGCUGCGAGGCGACGAUGGCUUCAUCUGGAGCGCUUCAGAGGCCCCUGAGCACACGUGUCGUCGUCGCCGACUUAGCCGCCUUCGUGUCAGCAUUGCGGAGCUGAAGCGCCAGACUGAGCUCAUGGCGUCUCAUCAGCGAGAGCUGGAGGAGCUGCGAGAGGCGCUGGGGUUGUAGUCAGGAGGCGACGAACAACAAAAGGGGCUGCGGGAACUACUGAUUCCGUGGAGACAGCCGGCCCUCUAACGCACGCGUGUGCAAAUGGGGGAUUGGGGGGCUGCGUGGGCUCAUCGAACGGAUGUGUCCCCGUCUCACUGACUCCAUCGCUUUUUGUUCUCUUCCUGCCAAUCUUUGCCGUCGUCUUCUCCUAGUGUCUCUUUCUCUCCCCUGCCUCUGUGUGUCGUGUGCGUUCCUCUGCACGUGCUCUUUAACGAGCCACUGUUGUUGUUUUGCCUCUCCUAUCAUCCUCUUUUUUC